AAAUUGAAGAGUUUGAUCAUGGCUCAGAUUGAACGCUGGCGGCAGGCCUAACACAUGCAAGUCGAACGGUAACAGGAAACAGCUUGCUGUUUCGCUGACGAGUGGCGGACGGGUGAGUAAUGUCUGGGAAACUGCCUGAUGGAGGGGGAUAACUACUGGAAACGGUAGCUAAUACCGCAUAACGUCGCAAGACCAAAGAGGGGGACCCUCGGGCCUCUUG
RNAcentral lists this ribosomal RNA (220 nucleotides) under Escherichia coli. Its description in RNAcentral is "partial 16S ribosomal RNA". It matches the Rfam family "Bacterial small subunit ribosomal RNA", at positions 1 to 217 of the family's 1533-position model. Lineage: Bacteria; Pseudomonadati; Pseudomonadota; Gammaproteobacteria; Enterobacterales; Enterobacteriaceae. The record is from RNAcentral.